This 4404-nucleotide long non-coding RNA is filed under the name Capra hircus (goat). RNAcentral's name for it is "lncRNA (ENSCHIG00010014252.1)". The record is from RNAcentral. Lineage: Eukaryota; Metazoa; Chordata; Mammalia; Artiodactyla; Bovidae.
AUGAAACAGCUCUUUGUAUGUCUCUCUCCAUGGCUGGUGGUACUUGAUCACUCAGACCCUAUGUGUUCUUCCAUAAGCACAAAGCGAUUUACCUGGAAAAGCGCUAGUUACCAUGAUAAGGGGCUGAGGAUACAAAAAUGGAUAAGCUGUAACAUCUAUCUUCAAGGAACACUCAUAGGGAAGACACUAUUACCAUUGAGAUUACUAACCAAUAUUAAUUAUAUUUUGCAUUCUUGGUUUUCUAGAUUAAACAGAAACACCAAAUAGUAUAGCUUAUCCCCAUAUUAGAGAUUAAAUUUUUAAAAAACAGAACAAAAAGGCUUUUCAAAAAAAUUGAAAGGCUAAAAGGCAAAUCCUAUCAUGCCAUUAUAUUUUAAGCAGGGAAACUUGCUAAGGGAAUAGUUCUUAAAUGGUCCCANNNNNNNNNNNNNNNNNNNNNNNAGGUGAUGGAGAUGUUAACUCACCAUACUAAUACAUACAUGUCUCAAAUCAUCAUGUUAUAUACAUUAAACUCACAUAAGAGUCUAUGUCGAUUCUUUCUCAUUAAAGUUGGGAGAAAAAAAUUAGAAUACCAUGAGACAAAUACACCUUUUAUAUCUUGCUUACCACAGUAUUCCAGCACUUAGAAUAAUACCAGGCACAAAGGAGGUGCUCAACAAAUAUUUGUGAGUGAAUCACAGAACCACUGAGUGGUUGAGUUAGGAUUCAAAUCCAGUUCUAAUUGGUGCCCAUCCUAAGAGUUUGUCAACUGUGACAGACAGCUUGUGAAGACAAGAAUGGAUCUGACUUAUUUUCAUGUCUUCCAUAUCCCCUAGUACACUGCUGUGUGUAAAAUAUGCUAUCAAUAUAUACUUAACAAAAUAACAUUAAGACUUCAUACUAUAAGUUCUAAGGUAUUAGAAAUAACAAACAAAAAUAGUAUGGAAAUAUCUGUGGGUAGAAGCAAUUCACACCAUUUCUUUUUCCUAGUGUCAGUCACUCAGUCGCGACUCUUUGCAACUCUUCUUCCUAGAAUACAUCUCUAAUCCCACUGCCCUCCUUCUUCCAUUUAAAAAAUUCUUACUUUGCUUUCAAGAACCACAUCUUNNNNNNNNNNNNNNNNNNNNNNNNNNNNNNNNNNNNNNNNNNNNNNNNNNNNNNNNNNNNNNNNNNNNNNNNNNNNNNNNNNNNNNNCUUAUAAAGCCUGAUUUUUUCCUACAAAACUAUGAGUUAAGGCAAUAACCCGACUCCAGCUCUUUUGCUUUCCUUUAUCAUUCCUUUCGUCUGUCAUUUUCUUCCUUCCCUUUUUUUCUCUUUCUCUCUCCUCCUCUGUUUCCACUCUUUCUCUUCCUUCCUUUCUUUUAUUUUUAGGUGAUUAAAGAGCAAGGUUUAAAAUGCUUUAAAAACAUAAACAUCUAUAGUUGUAAAAUUAGAAGAUAUUAUAAUCCUUUAAAUGAUGUGAUUAUGUCUUAAAUACCAACCUAGCUACAUUUCUCCAAGAAAGCUGUCCAUAAGGGUAGACUCUGAUGAAUUAAAACAUUCCCAAUGAAGCCAAAACACCAAUAACUGAUCAACAAAAUAAUUUCUAAGAUCCCAAGGACUUCAAGUACUAGAUUUAAAUUUACUUAGACUCCUAUAAAAGCAUCUAUAAAUUUCCAUAUUAUUAUAGCUAAAAAACAUCUAAGAUCUGAAAUCUUUUACUUCUGACAAUUCACAUUCUCAAGAAUGUUCUUUUACUCCCUUAUAUGAUAUUCCAACAAAUUUCACAAUCACAGCUUUUGAAAUACUCCAUAUAUUGAGUAGUCUACAGUUGGUUAUCCAUCAUAUCAAAGACUCUGCAUGACAAAAACAUUAAUUUCAGUUUUAAAGUAUUAUUAUUUACAUUGGGUAACAUCACAUAUCAUUGGUAUACAGUACUCUAACUUACUCAGUGAUUUGACCCACAGGAGAUCACAUUUGCUAUAGGAAAGUACAAAAGACAUAGGAAGGAAAAAGAGACGUGUGUAAGCCAACAGCAUGGGAAAAGAAAAACAAUAAAAAACAACAAGAACAGAAAAACUUAGUGAACACAGGCAUGUAGGAUAAAUAACAUAGAUGGAAACAACUCAAUAUACCUCAAAAAGGCUAUGAAGGCACAAAUAUUCUAUAGGACAGAAAAAUAAGCGUUGGUCAUUAUUAUAAUAUAAAGCCAUCAUAUAAUAUCUUCAAGAAAACAAGAAAAGUUAUAAGACAUCAGAGGUGCUUAUUAACAGUGCACAUACUACAAAGAAACCCAGCUAACUAGAAUAAUUUUUUUUCAGCAUCACUGAAGUUUAGUAUAUUGCUGAGUCUAUUUUACAUUGUCACAAAAAGUAGUUAUUUUAACCUGAUCAUGCUGUUAUAAAGGCAUAACCUUUCAUUUGAGAGACAGGAUCUUGUUUAAUUCACUGCACUUAUAAGUUUUACCUGGCCCAUAAAUACAAAGGGCCUGGGGGGCAUUCAUUUAAAUUGAAAUAUUAAUAACAGAAAUCUUUCGGCCAUUUUAGCAAUAAAACUUAUUUGAGGCAAUAUUCUUAGUUCUUUAAGUAAAGAGUUAACAACUUUAGAGGCAAUAUUAUUCCAAAGACCUCCUUAGCCAAUUUUCUAAAGUACAGAAUGAUCAAUAAAAAUCAGCCUGUAACAGUAUCUUCCAAACAUCAAUUGGAAAGAGUCUGUGUUCAGUGGAAUGCCAAAUAGUACUGCCAGACUUUUAUAGAAAGAGAGGGCUAUGUUUGCAUUGUUCUGUUAAUAGCAUGCUAACAAGUAUGUUUCCUGUCGGGUCACUAAUGGACAGAAAAAAUACAUAAUAAAGCACUGAACAGUGGACAGCCAUUCAUGCUCUACUGGUCUACCAUUACUAGAGAGAAGAAUGAGUAAGUCCUAUAAUCUUAAGCAGCUACAGAAAAGAAUACCCUCUUGUUAAAGCUCAAGAGAAUCUGAAGAGGGAAUAAAAGAGAAAAAAGUCAGACAGAUUAUGCUGUCAAUUUUACUUGUCAUAAUGUGCUUCAGAGAUAAAACAUUCCUCUGAAUGGCAAUUGAACAGAUGGAAAUUUUCAUUUUUGGUUAACUGGAUGGAAGAAUUGGACCAGUACCUAAAAUGACAUUGAAAUGAAGCUCAAACCCCCUCCCACAAGAAGGAAACAGAUGCAUCANNNNNNNNNNNNNNNNNNNNNNNNNNNNNNNNNNNNNNNNNNNNNNNNNNNNNNNNNNNNNNNNNNNNNNNNNNNNNNNNNNNNNNNNNNNNNNNNNNNCUCAAACCCCCUCCCACAAGAAGGAAACAGAUGCAUCAUUCCAGAUACAAAAUAAAUGAUUGAACAGUGCAUAUAUUAUAUUGGCAUCACUGUAUCCAACUGUACAUCUGCACAAUGUUUUAGUCUCCUGGAGAGAGAACAGACAUUUCUAAAAGGGAAAAUAGGCAACUAUUGAAGUGAAUCAGAUAAGUAUACCAUUUGGGUAAGAAAAGCCAAACAACACUUCGCUGAAAUUGAAGCUGUUCAUGCUGAGAUGAAAAAAGAACCAUAAAUUAUACCAAUUCCAAUGCCCUUGAACUUAUACACUGAUUUAAAUGUAGUAGACUUAGAAAUAUAAAACCACAUUUUGAAGAUUUUUAUAAUCUUAAAUCAGAAUGAAUUUUUUAAAAAAAAUGACCACUUAAGACUCUAAAGAAGUUAGGGUUGAAUACCCGCCUAGCUUGAGUCGAGAAAGAAAAGAGUGACAAACCAAAGCUACAUUCCUUAUCUUAAACUAUGACUGGAGAAGAUUCACAAGAUAGGUAACAAAAAUGAAAUCUUUGAUAAUUUGCAGUUAAUAACUGAUCCUGUGAGUUGUGAACUAAGGCAAUGGCGUGAUGAACUCCUUUUUACUCUUCCAUCAGUCCCAUUUCCACUUUCUGACAACACGGUCCUGGUUGGUGUUUCCUGCUGCUUUCCUGCCAGCUCUUACCAGGGCGGAUCCAGGCAGGUAGCUUACACCACCCUACACUUGCACCUCAGUCUUCCUAUCAGUCUUUUCCUGUCUUUCCGAAGUCAUUAAGCCCUCGGUCCAGCUGCAGAGAAAUUAUGAGAUACCAGCCUUAGAGGGCAAGUAAGCAAGGUUUGUCAUUUUGUUUUAAGGUAUAAUCUCAGGUGGCACGGGACCAGCAUCACUCCUGCAUUAGAAAGUGACUGUAUAAGAGGGUCUCAUCAGGGGAUGAGAUGGUGCCUGAGGAUGCCAGCAGAAUAAAUCUUGAGGUUAGAACCUAAAAGAGAAAGAGGCAAAAGGAAAAGUGUGUCUAGCACAAAAAGAUUUUAUGGUUAAAUAACAGAAAUUCUGGCUUCUUUUUAUAUAUUAAGUCAUUCAUCACAAUGUAAUGAGACUUUACUAUGUAUCUCGAGUGACAGAAUAUUUUAUCAGAUAUGACUUCCAAUC